Molecule: ribosomal RNA, 1279 nt
Filed under: Chaetocnema tibialis
Lineage: Eukaryota; Metazoa; Arthropoda; Insecta; Coleoptera; Chrysomelidae
Description: 16S ribosomal RNA
Rfam family: Archaeal large subunit ribosomal RNA (bases 1069-1227)
Source: RNAcentral
UUAAAAAGAUAAUUUUAUAAAUUUAAUUUGAAAAUUAAUUAUUAUUUUAAUUUAAAAUUUAUUUUUUUUUAAUUAAAGUAAUUAUUUUUUAUUAUUAAUUUUUGAAAAAAUUAAUUUUAUUAUAGUUAAUAGUAUUGUGAAAGAAUUAAUUUAUUUAUUUAAAAGAAAAAUUUAAUUUUUGUACCUUGUGUAUCAGGGUUUAUUAAAAUUUUAUUUAAUAUUUAAUAUUCUCGAAUUUAAAAGAGCUAAAAAGUUAUAAUUGUUAUUGUAAAAUAAAUAAAUUAAAUAAAUUUUUAGUAAUGAAAUGUUAUUCGUUUUUAAAUAUAUCUAGUUUUUUAAGAAAUAAAUUUAAUUUAGUUAUUAAUAAUAUAAUAUUUAUUAAUAAAUUUUAUAUUAUUAAUAAUUAAUAUAUUUAGGGAUGAGCUUAAAUAUAAAUUAUUAAUAAAAUUUAAAAUUUUAAAAAAUUUUAGAAUUAGAAAUUUUCAAAAAUUUAAGUAUGUUAUAAUUAAUUUUUAUUUGAUAUUUAAUUUUUAUUUUUUAUAAAUAAUUUAUUAAAAUAUAAUUAUUAAUUUAAUAUAAUUAGAAAUAAUGAUAAAAUUAGUAUAAUUUUAUAUUAAUAUUAAUAUAAUUAUUAGGUUAAUUAAAGGAAUUCGGCAAAUUUAUUUUUCACCUGUUUAUUAAAAACAUGUCCUUUUGAAAAAAAUUUAAGGUCUAACCUGCCCACUGAUAGAUUUAAGGGCCGCGGUAUUUUGACCGUGCUAAGGUAGCAUAAUCAUUAGUUUUUUAAUUGAAAGCUGGAAUGAAGGGUUGAAUGAAAAAAUAACUGUCUUUAAUUAAUUUAAUUAGAAUUUUAUUUUUAAGUUAAAAAGCUUAAAUAAAUUUAAAAGACGAGAAGACCCUAUAGAGUUUAAUAUAAUAAUAUUUUUAAAUUUUAGUAUUUAUUUUUUUAAUUAAUUAUUAUAUUGGAUUGGGGUGAUUAAAAAAUUUAAUUAACUUUUUUUUUAUUGGUAUAUUGAUUAAUAAAUAAAUGAUCCAAUAUUUUUGAUUAUAAGAUUAAAUUACCUUAGGGAUAACAGCGUAAUUUUAUUGGAGAGUUCAAAUCGAUAAUAAAGAUUGCGACCUCGAUGUUGGAUUAAAAUUUAAAUUUGGUGUAGAAGCUAAAUUUUUAAGUCUGUUCGACUUUUAAAAUUUUACAUGAUCUGAGUUUAAACCGGUGUGAGCCAGGUUGGUUUCUAUCUUUAAAUUGUUAAUAUAUUUUAGUACGAAAGGACCAAGUAUA